This 221-nucleotide long non-coding RNA is filed under the name Mytilus galloprovincialis (Mediterranean mussel). Lineage: Eukaryota; Metazoa; Mollusca; Bivalvia; Mytilida; Mytilidae. The record is from RNAcentral.
AAAAAAAAUAGUAUCUUUGUCAUGUUUGUUGUCGAAAUAAACACCUGCUUUAUCCAUUCAUGUACAUGGCUCCAUCAUAUCAAAUAUACAAAGAAGAUGUUUGAAGAACAUGUUGCCAAAAUUUAUUCAACCAAUUGAAGGAAGAUGUCUUGUGGAUUGAAUUAUUUAUGCACUGAACUGUUAUGUAGGGGGUCGAAUACACAGCAGCUGAAACAGAAGAC